Molecule: ribosomal RNA, 637 nt
Filed under: uncultured beta proteobacterium
Lineage: Bacteria; Pseudomonadati; Pseudomonadota; Betaproteobacteria
Description: bacterial SSU rRNA
Rfam family: Bacterial small subunit ribosomal RNA
Source: RNAcentral
GGUGCUUGCACCUGAUGGCGAGUGGCGAACGGGUGAGUAAUGUAUCGGAACGUGUCCGGAAGUGGGGGAUAACACAUCGAAAGAUGUGCUAAUACCGCAUAUGCCCUGAGGGGGAAAGGUGGGGAUCGCAAGACCUAUCGCUUUCGGAGUGGCCGAUAUCGGAUUAGCUAGUUGGUGGGGUAAAGGCCCACCAAGGCGACGAUCCGUAGCUGGUCUGAGAGGACGACCAGCCACACUGGGACUGAGACACGGCCCAGACUCCUACGGGAGGCAGCAGUGGGGAAUUUUGGACAAUGGGGGCAACCCUGAUCCAGCCAUACCGCGUGAGUGAAGAAGGCCUUCGGGUUGUAAAGCUCUUUCGGCAGGAAAGAAAUCGCGCACUCUAACAUAGUGUGUGGAUGACGGUACCUGAAGAAGAAGCACCGGCUAACUACGUGCCAGCAGCCGCGGUAAUACGUAGGGUGCGAGCGUUAAUCGGAAUUACUGGGCGUAAAGCGUGCGCAGGCGGCUUUUUAAGCCAGAUGUGAAAUCCCCGGGCUUAACCUGGGAACUGCAUUUGGAACUGGAAGGCUAGAGUGCGGCAGAGGGGGGUAGAAUUCCACGUGUAGCAGUGAAAUGCGUAGAGAUGUGGAGGAAU